UUUCUGGGGUGGAGAUAACUUGCCAGAACUGUAAGGCCAGGCCGGAGCUAGGAUUUGAACCCAAGAAGGGGGAGCCGCUGUGCUGAGGAGCUCUGCGCCCUGGGAGGAGGGGCCACCUCGCGCACAGCCAGGGCCAACUUCAGGGACAGGGGCCCAUGGCAGCACUCAGUGGCCACACUCAGAAGGACCCCAGGCUGUGUCUGGAAGAUCAGUGUUGGACAAUGGGCCCCACAUUUUCAUUCUCCACCAUGUGCUGAAGGUGUCACAGCAGGGCCCACCACAGGCACCUGCUCGUUUGGCCUCUCGGUCACUUGUUACCCCUAAAUAGUGCUGAAGGUCGCAGGCCUCUGCGGUUCCCAUGCGUCCACCCAGAUGGUCGGCAGGAUCCCCGAGGCAGGGGCCUCACCCAGGCUGGUCAGCCCCCCCCAACCUGGGCCCCUGCACCCCUGUCCUCCUGGGCGGUGGGCGCUCGGAGCACACUUCCUGGACCCCGUCUAAGGGCUGCACCCUGGGAGGAAAUCCUUGCACCUCAGAGCAGGAGCCCUUGUCCCCGGCACCCCCUCAGGGACAAUCGACUCCUCCAUCAAGUGGACAUUACAGGUGACGGCCCGAGUGGGGGUGGGGGGGUGACCUCCAGUUGGCAUUUCUCAUCCUCGAUCCCAGGCUCCGGGACUGGCUGAUGUGCCCAAGCGAGGUGAAUGGCCUCUGGGGCAGGCCCUGUUCUGGGAAUGGGCUGUGUCCUGGCCAGCAGGGAGGCCAGGGCCAGAGGUAGCUGGACCUCUUCAGGGUCCACCUGGGUCCACCAAGCUCUCCCCAGGCGGGGACACUAUUGCCAGUUACCAGACAUUUCAAGGUGGCCUGAGAAGGUACCUGGGAAGGAUGGCACGGGGCUGGUCCCUGCACCUGUGUCCACCCCGCUGGUCCAGCUGCCUUCCUCCCACCUAGCUCACCCUGGAGACCUCCCCUCCUGGCUGGCAGAGCUUGCCGCAGCGAGUGUCCUCGGGCCUUGGGGCAGCUGCUCUGCAUCAGCCCUGAGCAGCCUGCCCGAUCCGCCCUGCGCCAGCCUCACCCUCUUCUCUGACCCCUGGCUCAGGGGUCCCAGCGCGGCCUCCCGGGAGCUCGUCCGCUGCUUGUUCCCUUCCCUGACGCGGCCUCUCCCUCCAGGGAACAGUGAGUUGGGCCGCUGCUCUCAGAAGGGGCUAUUUCCUUGUUGCUGAGACACUUCGCUCCCGACCUGCCCCUGAUCCUGUCGGGUGCCUGGGCUCUGCGCCCCUGGCCCGGGCUCCCAGACAGCAGGCCGGACCCCCCCCCCUGCCUCCGGCUUUCUCCUUCCUUCUUCUCCGCUGCGAUCGGUUAUUAACAGCCACGCUGGGGGGCACGUGCCGCUGCCGUGGCCAGCUCCGAGCUUCCAAGGUGGGCUUCGGGGCUCUCUCAGGCCAUCUCCUGGGGGGACACUUGUACUUUCUUCCCCACCACCCACUCCCCCCGACCACAGCGGCAGGGUAAGCCCAUCUGAAUGCUGACCUCCCUGGUCACCAUCCCACAGGACACGUGUCCCACCUUGGGCCACAAACCCUUCAGGUGAAGGUAGUGGUUUUCUGCUGGACGUGGACCCAGAGGCACAUGGGGCUGAGUCAGGGCAGCUCGGGACCCUGAGGCAGAGCCUGCCCGGGUGGGAGCAGGUCCCUGGAGGCAGGGUUUUCUCCUGUGUCCCUGGAGGCCGGGUUUGUGUGCUCUCCUCCUUCUCUCCCAGCAGAAGAGGCUACCCAGGACCCCUCAGGAGCAGUAGCCAGGGGAGGCCCCUCCGUGAGUAAGCCGGCUCACUGGUAUGGUUCACUGGCCAAGCAGAGCCUUCCGCCGGACACAGCGCCCUACCUGGCUGGGCUCCCCCCGGGUCCAGACACAGAGGCCCUCACAGGGGAGACGGCCCCCUGAUGUCUGGAACAUUCUGCCUCAAGAAAGACUGACCACACCUUCCUUCUUGUGUUUCUGCCCUCUCCACCCUCGGGCCUCCUCGGGCCUCCUCGGGCCAGUUAUCCUGGGGCUCACUGUACUCGAGCCCUGACCACGCGCUCUGCUGUCCCUGCCCAGGAAAACCUACCCGAGCCCUGGUUUUCAGGAGAUUCCUGUCAGCCUCCUCUGGAGUCCAUACACAGCAGUCCUGCUUGAUGCUGACCAGCCCGCCAGGCCCUGGCAGGGGCUGAGCUGCGCACAGGUAACCGUGUCUCGAGGGAGGGCUCGAGAGGUCCCCAGGAUGCGCCAGGGGUCAGUCCAUGAGGAGUGAGUGAGACAGGUGAGGGACCUGACCACCAAGACGGAGGAGCUGUAUGGUGGGACUCUGCUGGGGACACGAAGGCCUCGGACCCCGGACCCCGGGGGGCUGAAGGGCCAGGGCCUGGGCUCCUGCUGAGGACCACAGCCAUUGCUGAGGUUUGAAUGUUCACAUGUUGGAACCCGAAUCCCCACCUUCACGGGUCAGUGGUGUUCGAAGAUGGCCUUUGGGAGGUAACUGGGGUGGAUGAGGUCCCGAGGUGGCCCAGGGAGGUAUUAGCGGCUUUAUGAGAGGACAAGAGGCCUGAGCUGGCACUGCUUGCUCCACCUUGUCCCGUGGGAGGCCACAUCAGGUGCCGGGCCCUGCUCUUGGACCUCGCAGCUCCAGGACCCUGAGCCAAACACACUUCUCUUCUUUGUAAAGCACCCGAUCUCGAGAAAGCCCGAGACACCACUGCCCGCAGGAAGGGUCUUAUUGUUGAAAUGGAGAGACCAUCCCAGAAAGAAGGCGCGUGCAGGGUCCUGGCCUGCAAUCCCAGCCAACAACCCAAACAAUGCUGCUCUGACUGUGCCGCAGGCCCCCCCCGGGCUGAAGGAAGGUGGUCGCUUCCGGGAUGCCCUGGGUCUCAACCAUCUGCAAAGUGAAGGCUGCUCUGUGUGGCUUUGAGGUGGCCCAGGGACACAGAGUCACCACCUUCACAGGCCUGAGUUAUCAGGCUCACCGGAGCAGCUUAGGUGUCAGAAAGGACUCCCAGGAUGAUCUGCAGGUGACCCGCCAGGGGCUUGGGGGAUGGGGCAACACAGGAGUCGUGAUUUUAGAUGGACGCUCCCGAGGCCCUGUGUUAGCUAGGAGGUCCCGUGGUUAAGCCUCAGGGAGGGAUGAACAGCUUUCAUUUAUUUAUUUAUUGGUAUUGGAAAUUGAACCCAGAGGCAUUUAACCCCGGAGUCACAUCCCCAGCUCUUUUUAUUUUUUUUAUUUUGAGACAGGGUCUCACUAAAUUGCUGAGGCUGGCUUUGAACCUGCAAUCCUCCUGCCUCAGCCUCUGAGUCGCUGGGAUCACAGGCGUGCACCACCAUGUUGGUUUAGAAUGAAUAUCUUAAAUUUAUGAGUUAAUUAACACAGCUGUGAGUGAAAGUGAAUAUUCAUACGUUAAUAUUAAAAUUGGAUUUAUAAAAAGAG
Long non-coding RNA from Marmota monax (woodchuck), 3451 nucleotides. RefSeq lists it as uncharacterized. Lineage: Eukaryota; Metazoa; Chordata; Mammalia; Rodentia; Sciuridae. The transcript is spliced from 3 exons. The record is from RefSeq and is a predicted model, not a curated record.